GCAACACAGGCUAUGUUCGCGUCAUCGGCGCAGUUAUCUACCGCUUCACUCUCCCUAUGCCCUUCCAUUUGACGCGGCACUACUUGCCGGUGACCUACACUUCAUUCCUUUCCCAAUUUCUUCGUGAAAUUACCGAAAUACAUAUCAAAUACCAGGCAUACGUACCGAAGAAAGGUAGGAAUCCUUCACUCUCGAGCAUUAAUCGUAACAUUUAUCGACAUUUCAUAUCCUUUUUUCGUACGUCAUAGGUAUAAGUUUAUUUUUUACUUAUAUUCGCGUUUCUCACGAAAAUUACACUACGAUACCGUAUUUUUUUUUCUUAAUUUCCUCGAGAAAGCAGCAAAUUGCUGAAAUAUAUCUGGAAUAUAUGUGUGUGUGGUAACACAGAAAUCGUCCUUUCUUACCCACCAAUCCUUAUCAGUGUUUUUGUGUUUCUCCUUCGUGUUUCUGGUGUAUCAUAUAAUUUAGUUUCGUUACAAUAAAAAAUGUAAUCGAAGAGAAUUGCAUUCUUUGGAAAAAAAUAAAUCCAAAAGAAAUUAAAUAAAGAUACGAAGGUUGGUCAGAUAAGGAUAAAUCAAUAAUGGACUCGGUGUUGAACCUAAAAUUUCUCCCAGCGCUACUGUAUUAGAUAUCAAAUUGAAGAAUUUACACGUAUACUUAUACGUAUAAUCUAUUACAAAUUUUUUUUAUUCAAUUUACAGAUUUGAUACAAAAUAAUUUUAUUAAUCUAUUAUCAAUAAAAAUCGUUAACAUUUAUAAUUAUCAAAUAGGCGGAAAGAUAAUUAAAUCAUUUAUGUAAAUUUUAACAAUUUCAACGCCUUCCAAUACGUAAACUAAAAGCGAAUAACGCAAGUAAAAUUAAGUAAGUAAAAUAACUAAACGUAAUAUUUUUAAAGAAGCCCGUUCACUUUUUAUUAAUCUAUUUACAAUAUGCAAGACGAUUUUUAA
Molecule: long non-coding RNA, 948 nt
Organism: Apis mellifera (honey bee)
Lineage: Eukaryota; Metazoa; Arthropoda; Insecta; Hymenoptera; Apidae
Exons: 2
Source: RefSeq, a predicted model, not a curated record